CUGUGAUGUAAACAACGACCACUACUUCCGGUUAUGGCCGCAGGUAUGUUUUUUCCUGAUUUCUAAAGCGGUUUGCGGGAAAUUAAAUUGAUAUUUUUUGCACACUCUGUUUAUUUCAUAUCACUAAUUUUAGAACUAGUAUCAGUUUUACGGAUAUUUUUUAUGGUUUUUGGUGCUGAGCGCGCUAACAGCUAGUUAAAAAAAACUGACUUGAUAGCACAUUGUUAAGCUAGUUACGUUUUUCUCGUUUCGACCGCAUUUGCAGCAGUUUAAACGCAACUGUCCAUUUCUCGCUGUAAACAUCAAUGCCCAGACCUCUACUCAAGGAAGUAAAGGAGACUUUCAAGGAGUGAACUUUGAUGGUGAUGGAGAGUGAUGGAUAACCCGACAGCAAAUAAGAGCCACAUUCCCUGUCCGUCUUGGAUGGCCCAGAAUGGCUGGUCAGCAGCUUCAUCUCAGAACCCGCUCGUCAGCCUUCUCCCCACCUCCUAUGAGCAUAUGCAGGCACCCAAUCAGAGUUGUACUAACAACUUGAACACUGUAUCUUCCAGAAACAACCCUCAUGCUGACAUGUAUAAAACCUCUCAUAUUGGCAGCAUUCCAUCAUCCAGCUCGCUGUUUGCCACAGAUAUCCCAAAUCUCUCUCAAGGUAUUUCUUUUAAUCAGCAAAGCUCUAACCUUUCAUCGAUCAUGGUAUCAGCGAACCAAGGAAAAAAUGUUACCCCACCAGCUCUUCGACAGUCAAACCAAGGACUUCAGCUUUGUGGGCCCCAGGAUUUAUCUGUUCUCUCAUCCCACAAUGCCUUCAAAACAUUUCAAAAUCCAAUAUCCAGUCAGGGUUUGUCAAGUGGGAUUCAAGGUCUACCCCCCCGCCUGCCGUCAUGCAGACAACAUCAAGCUGCUUUUGAAGGAGAAAAUGUGGAGUCCGCUCAUGGUGCAGGAAACACUCAAAGCUAUACCUCAUCCACCUCUCAGGAGCAGCCUGAGUGGUUACCUUCAUCACAUUGCAGAGGAGCUGUGAAUGACCCUGUCCCAAAAGCAGCUGUUCAAAACACAAAUAGAUCUACUACGGCCAGCAGUGAAAAGCGGCGUUCAGAUGUUUUACAGCAGCGCGCUGAGCUGCUUAAACAACUGGCAGAGAUGGAUAAACUUCUGAAAGCAUUGCCAUCAGAUAACAGCAGCGAUGGGCAGUCGUCAGAUGAUGAGCCACCUCAGUGUGAACAGACUGCUGCAAAUUCAAAGUCGCGUAAUUCAGCAAAUGGUUCUUCACCUUCAUACUAUGACGAAGAAAAUGAUGCUUGUGAUACGCCAGAGUCACCUGCAGAAUCGCUGAAAAAGGAAGUUGUUUCAGACAUGUCAGGGGACGACGAUGAUCAGGAUUACUCACCAGGGAGUGAUGAAGAGUUCAAAGAAGGUUCUUCAGAUGAAUCCAGUCAUAGCGAUCCAGAGUCCCCCGUGAGUGAAGAACCGCACCAAGAAGAGCAGAACUCAAAAUCAGAAAAUUCUUCAGGAAAGGAUAAAGGAGUCACUCCUGUAAAGAGGAAACCUAUGAUUAGUCAGGCAGAAGCGUCACAAACGCCAGUGUUGCCAGCUGUAAAACGACCAAAUUCAAAAGCUCGAUUUUAUGACAAGAAGAAUUACUGCUUAUUUUGCUCCAAGGCUGUAUUAAAACUGUCACGGCAUUUUGAGUCAAUUCACAGUGACAAACCAGAGGUUGCAGCUGCAUUUCAGUAUCCCAAACACUCCAAAGAAAGACAAAAUAUAUGGAAAAAAUUAACAAAUGAAGGAAACUUUGCACAUAAUAAAAAUGUUUUGAAAACAGGAGAGGGAACUCUUGUCGUACGACAAAGACCGAAAGUGCUUGGACAGGCCCGUGACUUUCUUCCUUGUCUUCACUGUCAUGGUCUUUUUGUGAAGAGAAACCUGUUCAAACACAUGAGGACGUGCCCAGCGAAAAGCAAGAUUGAAAAGGAUUCAGGUAUUGGAAAAAAGCGCAUUGCAUCAAUGUGUGUGCUGGCAACUGUGGACUGUGAAGACCGUGGCAUAAGUGAUGUCUCUAGGAGCAUUCUGAAUGAAAUGAUAUACGAUGAUGUGACGCGAGCUGUCAUGGAUGACAGGAUUCUCUUGCAGUUUGGGGAAUACAUGUACAAUCAUUAUGGCCGUGAUGCGAAAAAGCACCCAUAUAUAAGACAAAACCUUCGUCAGAUAGCAAGACUUGUGCUUGAGGCUCAAAAAACGACCCCAAUGAAGAAGCUGGAGGACUUCUUUCACCCUUCAAACUUCCAGCGUGUGGUGUCUGCAGUGAACGUCCUGGCAGGCUAUGAUUCAGAAACUAAAAUUUACGCCGCUCCUUCCGUUGCAAUCAAGCUUGGUCACAGCCUGCAGAAGACCUGCAGUAUUGUUAAGGAUAACGCGGUAAAGUCUGGUGAUACAAAACAGGCAGAGGCUGCUAAAAACUUCCUCUCUGUGUACCAAAAGAAGUGGACUAAGCUUGUUUCUUCGGCCGCAUUAAGAAGUCUCAGAGAAAUUAAAUCAAAACGAGCAAAGCAGAUACCACUUGUUCAAGAUAUGAAGCGCUUGCAUUUCCACUUGGAGAAGGUUCAUACUACAGCUGAGAAGAAUCUACGAGACAGUCUUUCUACAGAAAAUUUUGUCGCUCUGGCCAGAGUCAUGCUUUCCCGGAUAAUCCUCUUCAACAAGAGAAAGCCUCGAGAGGUUGCAACGAUUCAGCUGACGGAAUUCAUGUCACGAACAAAGUCAGAUCCGCCUGAUGACUUGGACCUGUCUGUCACAGAGUUGGAAAAAACCAUGUGUAGGUUCUUCUCCAGAGUUGACGUACGUGGGGACUGUGGGAGAAAAGUCCCUGUUUUACUGAAGCCCUCAUUUGAGUCGGCUCUGGAGCUUCUAGUGGAUUCUCGUGAGGCAUGUGGGAUCACCAGUAAGAAUCCCUUCGUCUUUGCCCGACCAAAUGCUCUGUCUAACUACAGGGGGACAGAUUGUCUUCAAGGAUUUAUCAAAGAAUGUGGAGCUCAAAACUCUGAAGGUCUGACAUCAAAAAAUGUCCGCAAGCAUUUUGCAAAAAUGCUACAACUGAUGAACCUGGAUGAAAAUGAAGCCAACCAAAUUUUUGGGCCUAAUAACAAAAUCCAGAUCCUGCGGCAGUGCAAUGACUCCACACUGGAUGAUAUUGAAAUGGAUUCUGAAGCUGACUCGUGGGAUCAUAGUGAAGGCAGACCAGCAUCUCUUAAUCAACAAAAACAUGGAGGAAAAAGUGCCAACAAAUCUAUCAGAGGCUCCAAAUGUACACCCAAACACGUAUGGGGGGAUGCUGAGGUUCAUGCUGUAGAAAAACACAUGAUGCGCUUCAUUCAGGAGCACAAAGUGCCCCAGAAGGACGACUGCGUCAAGUGUCUUGAAGCUGAGGCAAAAGCACUGAGGAACCGCACGUGGAAAGGUCUAAAGAACUACGUCCGAAACAGGAUCACAACUCUGAAAAGACAAAAUGACUCUUCGCAGGAUUCUCCGACCAGCUGCAAAAGGCCCAGAGAAGCAGAACCACAGCAAACGAGACAGUCUUCGAGUGGACGACAAGCUGACUCACAGGAUCACGAUGAAGGUUCUACUGCAGACAGUGGAGAGGCACCUUUUAAUCAUCAAAAAGCACAUGGAGAAACAAGAAGCUCCAGCAAGACUACACGUCCCAAAUCUGUCAAAUCAGGUGGACAUGGUUCCCUUCAUAAAACUAAACACACGUGGGAGGAGGCAGAGGUCCACGCUGUAGAAAGACACAUGAUGAGUUUCAUUCAAGGCCACAAGGUGCCUCAGAAAGACGACUGCAUAAAGUGUCUUGAUGCUGAGCCAAGAGUGCUGAGAAAUCGCACGUGGAAAGGUGUAAAGGACUACGUCAGAAACAGGAUCACAACCCUACAAAGACAAAGCGGCUUCUCCCUGGAUUCACCGAAAAGCAGGAAAAGGCCCAGAAAAUCAGCAGAGCCACAGCAGAGUACUGCAUAUUACUAACCGCUGUAGAUUUGAUAUGAUGUUGUUUUCUUCAACAUUCCCUCUUAAUUGACUUAUCUCUCCCCCUACUCUCCCCAUUAAGAUUCCCAGUAAAAAGUAAUAAAGUAAUAAUUUUCCUUAUACGUAUAUAUUUUUUGUCUUCAAUACAGUGAGACAGUCUGCAGGUGGAGAACAAGCCAGUUCAUGGGAUCACAAUGACUCCUAUGCAGGUGGUGGAACAGAAAUGUUUUAUGAUCAACAAGAAGAUGAAGAAACAACAAGCUCCAGCAAAACGAGCAGAUCUGUCAAAUCCAGUGAGAAAGGUUUCCACCUUAAAACUAAACACACGUGGGAGGAGGCAGAGGUCCACGCUGUAGAAAGACACAUGAUGAGUUUCAUUCAAGGCCACAAGGUGCCUCAGAAAGACGACUGCAUCAGGUGUCUUGAUGCUGAGCCAAGAGCGCUGAGAAACCGCACGUGGAAAGGGGUGAAGGACUACGUCAGAAACAGGAUCACAACCCUGCAAAGACAAAGUGACUGUUUCCAAGAUUCACCAAAAAGCAGGAAAAGGCCCAGAAAAUCAGCGGGACAGCAGAGUACUCCACAUUACCAACAGCUGUAGAUUUGAUAUGAUGUUAAUACUCAAACCUGCAACAUUUCACAUCCUUCAGCUGACUUAUUGUUCUUUAGUCUUUCUGUCCAUUUGUAUAUCAGAUGUGAGAAUAUCUUUCCAUUAUGGUUCUCAGUUUUUGUUUUCUUUUUUUUUAUGUUUUAUUUUAUCAAGUUUGUUUAACAGAGACUGUUCAUGAAUACUGAAAAAUUACUGUUUUAUUCACAUUUAGAUAAAAGGUUUUUUUUAUGGUGUUCCUGGGUACUGUGACCAAUUUUGAAUACAGUAUCUGGUUACAUUGGUUGGUAUACUGGCACAUGAUGCUUUGUUAAAAUAAAUGUUCAACAGUAAAGUCUCAAAAAUAAUAUUGUAGCUUUUUUUUUGGCCAGGGGGGCAAAACCUUGUAUCUUGAUGGCACAUUAUUGUACACCAAGAGUGUACAGGAGUGGUAGGAAAAUUAGUCAUUCAGAAUGUUUGAAUUUGAUCAAAUA
This is a long non-coding RNA of Astatotilapia calliptera (eastern happy), 5100 nucleotides long. The record is from Ensembl. Lineage: Eukaryota; Metazoa; Chordata; Actinopteri; Cichliformes; Cichlidae.